Non-coding RNA from Pongo abelii (Sumatran orangutan), 117 nucleotides. The record is from Rfam. NCBI's taxonomy places the organism in Eukaryota, Metazoa, Chordata, Mammalia, Primates, Hominidae.
AUCUAUGGCCAUACCAUCCUGAAUACACCCGAUCUCUUCUGAUCUCCGAAGCUAAGCAGGUUUGGACUUGCUUAGUACUCUGAUAAGAGGAAAAAAAAGGGUGAGUAAAUACAGCAC